Molecule: small nuclear RNA, 191 nt
Filed under: Oreochromis niloticus (Nile tilapia)
Lineage: Eukaryota; Metazoa; Chordata; Actinopteri; Cichliformes; Cichlidae
Description: U2 spliceosomal RNA (ENSONIG00000032589.1)
Rfam family: U2 spliceosomal RNA
About the family: U2 is a small nuclear RNA (snRNA) component of the spliceosome (involved in pre-mRNA splicing).
Source: Rfam by way of RNAcentral
AUCGCUUCUCGGCCUUUUGGCUAAGAUCGAGUGUAGUAUCUGUUCUUAUCAGUUUAAUAUCUGAUACGCCCCCGAUUCGGGGGCAACGUAUUAAACGCAUUUUUAGAACAGGGAGCUGAAUAAGGGGCUCGCUCCGUUCGCUCCACGCAUCGACCCGGUAUUGCAGCGCCUCCGGGAACGGUGCCCCCUUU